AGAGAGAGAGAGAGAGAUGAUGAAACAGAGCAUUAUUUUUUUUUACUUCUUAAUAGAAGAAUUAAGACAAAGAACUACGCACAUAUUUUUAGAUCAGAUGGAAGGCCAAAAAAAACUAGAAAUAGCCAAGGAUUUAUCUAAUUAUGAUCAAAUAAGCAAUAUUCACAUAUAUAAUCAAAAACACAAUUGAACUGAUGAUUCCGAUAAAAAUCCCCAACCUAUUGGACGGUUAUGGAAUCCGUAUAUCAAAUAGAUGAUCAACUUUCAACAGACCUACGCUAGACAGAUAAUAGGUUAGCUCAAUCCAAACCCACAACUCAUAAAAACUCAAAUCACUAACCAAACUACCAAAAAGUUCAAAACCAGAAGCCAAAACCCUACGUUGCAUCGACUAAUCCAAGCGAUCUAUAGCCGAAUCGCAAAUGAAAAAAAAAAUAAAGAAAUCUCAAAACCGAAAAAAGAAAAUGGACGAUUCAAAGAUCUAACACGAUUUCGCAACAAAAACCAAAAAUCACAUCCCCAAUCGACCCAAAAACAUUUGAAUCGGACGAUACACGCUUCAAAACUCGAAGAAAGACAACCGAACAAACAAAGAACACCAGAAACACAAGAAGAAACAAGAAUCGAUUGCAAUAAAACCCAACGUAAUCGAUUAAGGACUCAGAAAACUUUACCUUAGAAUGUAGAGAGAGACAAAGGAUCUACAGAAGGAUAAGCCUCUGCUCUGCGUGCGGCUUGCGUUAGGGAUUGCGGGAUGCUUUGGUAGAGGGCAAUGAGCUAGAGAGAGAGUUUUAAAUAGGCUUUUACCAAUUUC
Molecule: unclassified non-coding RNA, 814 nt
Filed under: Hevea brasiliensis (rubber tree)
Lineage: Eukaryota; Viridiplantae; Streptophyta; Magnoliopsida; Malpighiales; Euphorbiaceae
Source: RNAcentral